RNAcentral lists this ribosomal RNA (480 nucleotides) under uncultured bacterium. RNAcentral's name for it is "partial 16S ribosomal RNA". It matches the Rfam family "Bacterial small subunit ribosomal RNA", at positions 28 to 507 of the family's 1533-position model. The record is from RNAcentral.
GACGAACGCUGGCGGCGUGCUUAACACAUGCAAGUCGAACGAUGAAGAAAAGAAUCGAAGCUUCGGCAGAAAUUCAUUUCGGAUUAGUGGCAGACGGGUGAGUAACGCGUGAGCAACCUACCUCUUACAAGGGGAUAGCCUCGGGAAACCGGGAUUAAUACCAUAUAACAUUGCGACGAAGCAUUUCGAUGCAAUCAAAGCUACGGCGGUAAGAGAUGGGCUCGCGUCCCAUUAACCGGAUGGUGAGGUAACGGCUCACCAUAGUGACGAUGGGUAACCGGCCUGAGAGGGUGAACGGUCACACUGGAACUGAGACACGGUCCAGACUCCUACGGGAGGCAGCAGUGGGGAAUAUUGCACAAUGGAGGGAACUCUGAUGCAGCGACGCCGCGUGAGUGAUGAAGGAAUUCGUUUCGUAAAACUCUGUUCUAUGGGAAGAAAAGGACUGUACCAUAGGAGAAAGCUCCGGCUAAAUACGUG